RNAcentral lists this ribosomal RNA (254 nucleotides) under uncultured bacterium. Its description in RNAcentral is "partial 16S ribosomal RNA". It matches the Rfam family "Bacterial small subunit ribosomal RNA", at positions 524 to 776 of the family's 1533-position model. The record is from RNAcentral.
UACGUAGGGGGCAAGCGUUGUCCGGAUUUACUGGGCGUAAAGGGCGCGUAGGCGGCCUCCGCAAGUCAGUUGUGAAAUCUCCGAGCUUAACUCGGAAAGGUCAACUGAUACUGCGGGGCUAGAGUGCGGAAGGGGCAACUGGAAUUCUUGGUGUAGCGGUGAAAUGCGUAGAUAUCAGGAGGAACACCGAUGGCGAAGGCAGAUCUCUGGGCCGUAACUGACGCUGAGGAGCGAAAGCAUGGGGAGCGAACAGG